UAGAGUAUCCUGGCUCAGAUUGAACGUGGCGGCAGGCCUAACACAUGCAAGUCGAGCGGAUGAAGGAGCUUGCUCCUGGAUUCAGCGGCGGACGGGUGAGUAAUGCCUAGGAAUUGCCUGGUAGUGGGGGACAACGUUUGAAAGGAACGCUAAUACCGCAUACGUCUACGGGAGAAAGCAGGGGACUUCGGGCCUGCGCUAUCAGAUGAGCCUAGGUGGAUUAGUAGUUGGUGAGGUAAUGGCUCACCAAGGCGACGAUCCGUAAUGGUUGAGAGGAUGAUCAGUCACACUGGAAUGAGACACGGUCCAGAUCUACGGGAGGCAGCAGUGGGGAUUGGCAAUGGGGAAAGCUGAUCCAGCCAUGCGCGUGUGUGAAGAAGGUUUGGAGUAAAGCACUUUAAGUUGGGAGGAAGGGCGUAAUUAAUACUGCAUUUGACGUUACCGACAGAAUAAGCCCGGCUAACUUGUGCCAGCAGCCGCGGUAAUACAGAGGGUGCAAGCGUUAUCGGAAUUAUGGGCGUAAAGCGCGGUAGGUGGUUUGUUAAGUUGGAUGUGAAAUCCCCGGGCUCAACCUGGGAAUGCUCCAAAACUGGCAAGCUAGAGUAUGGUAGAGGGGUGGAAUUUCUGUGUAGCGGUGAAAUGCGUAGAUAUAGGAAGGAACACCAGGCGAAGGCGACCACCGCAAGACUGAAA
RNAcentral lists this ribosomal RNA (693 nucleotides) under Pseudomonas koreensis. RNAcentral describes it as "bacterial SSU rRNA". It matches the Rfam family "Bacterial small subunit ribosomal RNA", at positions 1 to 745 of the family's 1533-position model. The record is from RNAcentral. Lineage: Bacteria; Pseudomonadati; Pseudomonadota; Gammaproteobacteria; Pseudomonadales; Pseudomonadaceae.